RNAcentral lists this ribosomal RNA (292 nucleotides) under uncultured bacterium. Its description in RNAcentral is "partial 16S ribosomal RNA". It matches the Rfam family "Bacterial small subunit ribosomal RNA", at positions 505 to 796 of the family's 1533-position model. The record is from RNAcentral.
GUGCCAGCCGCCGCGGUAAUACGGAGGAUCCAAGCGUUAUCCGGAUUUAUUGGGUUUAAAGGGUGCGUAGGCGGCUUAUUAAGUCAGGGGUGAAAGACGGUGGCUCAACCAUCGCAGUGCCCUUGAUACUGAUGAGCUUGAAUACACUAGAGGUAGGCGGAAUGUGACAAGUAGCGGUGAAAUGCAUAGAUAUGUCACAGAACACCGAUUGCGAAGGCAGCUUACUAUGGUGUGAUUGACGCUGAGGCACGAAAGCGUGGGGAUCAAACAGGAUUAGAUACCCGCGUAGUCC